This 1107-nucleotide ribosomal RNA is filed under the name uncultured bacterium. Its description in RNAcentral is "bacterial SSU rRNA". It matches the Rfam family "Bacterial small subunit ribosomal RNA", at positions 8 to 1104 of the family's 1533-position model. The record is from RNAcentral.
AGAGUUUGAUCCUGGCUCAGAUUGAACGCUGGCGGCAGGCCUAACACAUGCAAGUCGAACGGUAACAGGAAACAGCUUGCUGUUUCGCUGACGAGUGGCGGACGGGUGAGUAAUGUCUGGGAAACUGCCUGAUGGAGGGGGAUAACUACUGGAAACGGUAGCUAAUACCGCAUAACGUCGCAAGACCAAAGAGGGGGACCCUCGGGCCUCUUGCCAUCGGAUGUGCCCAGAUGGGAUUAGCUUGUUGGUGGGGUAACGGCUCACCAAGGCGACGAUCCCUAGCUGGUCUGAGAGGAUGACCAGCCACACUGGAACUGAGACACGGUCCAGACUCCUACGGGAGGCAGCAGUGGGGAAUAUUGCACAAUGGGCGCAAGCCUGAUGCAGCCAUGCCGCGUGUAUGAAGAAGGCCUUCGGGUUGUAAAGUACUUUCAGCGGGGAGGAAGGGAGUAAAGUUAAUACCUUUGCUCAUUGACGUUACCCGCAGAAGAAGCACCGGCUAACUCCGUGCCAGCAGCCGCGGUAAUACGGAGGGUGCAAGCGUUAAUCGGAAUUACUGGGCGUAAAGCGCACGCAGGCGGUUUGUUAAGUCAGAUGUGAAAUCCCCGGGCUCAACCUGGGAACUGCAUCUGAUACUGGCAAGCUUGAGUCUCGUAGAGGGGGGUAGAAUUCCAGGUGUAGCGGUGAAAUGCGUAGAGAUCUGGAGGAAUACCGGUGGCGAAGGCGGCCCCCUGGACGAAGACUGACGCUCAGGUGCGAAAGCGUGGGGAGCAAACAGGAUUAGAUACCCUGGUAGUCCACGCCGUAAACGAUGUCGACUUGGAGGUUGUGCCCUUGAGGCGUGGCUUCCGGAGCUAACGCGUUAAGUCGACCGCCUGGGGAGUACGGCCGCAAGGUUAAAACUCAAAUGAAUUGACGGGGGCCCGCACAAGCGGUGGAGCAUGUGGUUUAAUUCGAUGCAACGCGAAGAACCUUACCUGGUCUUGACAUCCACGGAAGUUUUCAGAGAUGAGAAUGUGCCUUCGGGAACCGUGAGACAGGUGCUGCAUGGCUGUCGUCAGCUCGUGUUGUGAAAUGUUGGGUUAAGUCCCGCAACGAGCGCAACCC